UAGGGAAUCUUCGGCAAUGGACGGAAGUCUGACCGAGCAACGCCGCGUGAGUGAAGAAGGUUUUCGGAUCGUAAAACUCUGUUGUUAGAGAAGAACAAGGAUGAGAGUAGAAUGUUCAUCCCUUGACGGUAUCUAACCAGAAAGCCACGGCUAACUACGUGCCAGCAGCCGCGGUAAUACGUAGGUGGCAAGCGUUGUCCGGAUUUAUUGGGCGUAAAGCGAGCGCAGGCGGUUUCUUAAGUCUGAUGUGAAAGCCCCCGGCUUAACCGGGGAGGGUCAUUGGAAACUGGGAGACUUGAGUGCAGAAGAGGAGAGUGGAAUUCCAUGUGUAGCGGUGAAAUGCGUAGAUAUAUGGAGGAACACCAGUGGCGAAGGCGACUCUCUGGUCUGUAACUGACGCUGAGGCUCGAAAGCGUGGGGAGCAAACAGG
This 430-nucleotide ribosomal RNA is filed under the name uncultured bacterium. RNAcentral describes it as "bacterial SSU rRNA". It matches the Rfam family "Bacterial small subunit ribosomal RNA", at positions 355 to 776 of the family's 1533-position model. The record is from RNAcentral.